AGAGUUUGAUCCUGGCUCAGGGUGAACGCUGGCGGCAUGUCUAAGGCAUGCAAGUCGAAAGCCUGUUUACAGGCUUGGCAAACGGGAGAGUAACACGUUGGUAACCUACCUCUAUCUCAAGGAUAACCCGGAGAAAUCUGGAAUAAUACUUGAUAGUCAUGGGGGGACAUAAGUCAUUCCCAUGUAAAGAUUUAUCGGAUAGAGAGGGGCCUACGGCACAUCAGCUUGUUGGUAAGGUAAAAGCUUACCAAGGCUACGACGUGUAGCGGGUGUGAGAGCAUGACCCGUCUCACUGGAACUGAGACACUGUCCAGACUCCUACGGGAGGCUGCAGUCAAGAAUCUUCCUCAAUGGACGAAAGUCUGAAGGAGCAAUGCCGCGUGAUCGAUGAAGCUUUUCGGAGUGUAAAGAUCUUUUAUCAAGGACGAAUUCGUGACGGUACUUGAUGAAUAAGUCACUGCUAACUACGUGCCAGCAGCAGCGGUAAUACGUAGGUGGCGAGCGUUACCCGGAUUGAUUGGGCGUAAAGGGUCCGCAGGCGGUUUGAACAGUCGUUGGUCAAAUCUUGAGGCUUAACCUCAAGACUGCCAAUGAUACUUUCAAACUAGAGACUGGGAGAGGCAAACGGAAUUGCCGGUGUAGUAGUAAAAUGCGUUGAUAUCGGUAGGAACACCAAAAGCGAAGGCAGUUUGCUGGAACAGUUCUGACGCUCAGGGACGAAAGCAUGGGUAGCGAAUGGGAUUAGAUA
This 748-nucleotide ribosomal RNA is filed under the name uncultured bacterium. RNAcentral describes it as "bacterial SSU rRNA". It matches the Rfam family "Bacterial small subunit ribosomal RNA", at positions 8 to 784 of the family's 1533-position model. The record is from RNAcentral.